AAAAGUUAGCCGCUUACCAACCGAAACAGAGAAACCGCCCGGAAAGAAAAUAUUCGGUCUUUUAAGUCUUAGAGUUUGACCUGUUGAAGAGGAAAGUUUGUAACACGCACAGAGAGAGGUUGAGAAAUCUUUAUAUGUUAUGAACGAUUUGAAGAUCCAUGCUUUGAAUUCGAUUGUUUGAAGGGAAUAUGGAAACCCCUUCAGCAGAGGAGCUUUUGAAGAAGAUCCAAAUACUUGAAGCGGGACAUGCCGAUCUCAAGCAAGAAAUUUCUAUUUUAAAACAAUCCGGUGGCGAUUCCAAGGCCAAUUCAACUCAUCAAAGAUCUCACUCUACUUCCCCUCGACGUCCGCGCUUCCCGGGGAACGCGGCGAAGCUUGCUGCUUGGAAGAAAGAUUCAGCUUCGUUUCGGCACUCCUCGCCGUUGCGAAGAGAGAGCAGAAACAAUGACACUGUCAAUGGCGACAGCGGCACCGGAGGAGAUUUAGGAGUAGGAGGAAGAGGAGGAGCUAUCGAAAGAACCGGGAACGUCGGGCCAGCAGCCGUCAAUUUCACUAACAGCCAGUAUUUGAAUAUAUUUCAGUCUAUGGGGCAAUCUGUUCAUAUAUUUGAUCUUAGUGGCCGUAUAAUUUAUUGGAAUAAAGCUGCCGAAAAACUUUAUGGUUAUUCAGCAGCAGAGGCUUUAGAGCAAGAUGCCAUUCAACUUCUUGUUGAUCAUAGGGAUUUCGCUGUUGCACUUAAUAUUGUUCAUUGUGUUAUGACGGGGGAUAGCUGGACUGGACAAUUUCCUUUCAAGAAUAAAAUGGGGGAGAGGUUUUUGGCUGUUGCAACGUAUACUCCUUUUUAUGAUGAGGAUGAUGACGAUGAUAGUUCAUUAGUUGGAAUCAUUUGUGUAUCCAGUGAUACUCAGCCUUUGCAAGAAAGGAGAGCUGCAGUGUUGGCUGGAAAGCAACCUGAAGGAGAUUCAACCUUUAGCCGGUCUAAAAAUGCUGUCUCAGCUAAACUUGGUCUGGAUCCUCAACAACCUAUGCAAACAGCAAUUGCAUCAGAACUAACAAAUUUGGCGCUUAAGGUGAGCAACAAAAUGAAGUCCAAAUUUAAGAUGGGAGAGUAUUGUGUCGAUCGUGAAGGAGAAAGUGGAGAUGGUCAUUAUUUGGAGCAUGGUUGCUCCAUUGCAGCUCAUUCUGAUCUUAAAGAAGAUGCAGUUUCCAGUGGAGCUUGUACACCUAGGGGAAGUAUUUACCCAUCUGCCUUUAGUGUAUUUUAUCCGUUGGAUGAAAAGUCCCCCAUGAACACCUCUCACAAUUCUGGUGAUGAGAGUGAAGGAAAACCUGCAAUCCAAAAGAUUAUGACCUUAGUGGGUAAAAAGGGGAUAUCGUGGCCUUGGAAAGAGAAUGAUCGAGCAGGAUCAGAGGCAAGAACUACUCGUUUUGUAUGGCCUGGAUUGGCAAAUGAUCAAGAGAAUGAUUUAUUUGUACAGAAAAGCUCAUAUUCUGCUGCAAAAUCUGAAGGCCACGUUAAUGAAAAUAAUACCCCUGUCAAUAAUGAGCCAUCAGGCUCGUGGUCAUCCUCUGUUAAUGUUUACAGCACCAGCAGUGUCAGCAGCUUUGGAAGUACUAGCAGUAGUGCAGUUAAUAGAGCUGAGAUGGAUGUCGAUUGUUUAGAUUACGAAAUCUUGUGGGAGGACUUGACAAUUGGAGAUCAAAUUGGGCAAGGUUCUUGUGGAACAGUGUAUCAUGGUCUGUGGUUUGAAUCCGAGGUUGCAGUCAAGGUAUUCUCGAAGCAGGAAUAUUCAGAUGAUGUAAUAAAUGCCUUCAGAGAGGAGGUAUCUCUUAUGAAAAGACUUCGGCAUCCAAAUGUUCUGCUGUUCAUGGGAGUUGUGGUUUCAUCUCAACGUCUCUGCAUUGUCACAGAGUUCCUUCCACGUGGGAGUUUGUUUCAGUUACUACAAAGGAAUACUACCAAAUUAGGUUGGAGACGGCGUGUCAGUAUGGCUUUGGAUAUUGCACGAGGCAUGAAUUAUCUUCACAAUUGCAAUCCACCUAUCAUUCAUCGUGAUUUGAAGUCUUCAAAUCUUCUAGUGGAUAAGAAUUGGACCGUGAAGGUUGGCGAUUUUGGUUUGUCACGUCUCAAGCACAAAACAUAUCUCACAACAAAGUCUGGGAAAGGAACGCCUCAAUGGAUGGCGCCUGAAGUUCUUCGCAGUGAACCCUCAGAUGAGAAGUCCGACGUUUAUAGUUUUGGCGUCAUAUUAUGGGAGCUAGCUACCGAGAAGAUACCUUGGGAGAAACACAACGCAAUGCAGAAUAUUUGCAGUUGGUUGCAGCGGUGGGGUUCAUGAACCAACGGCUAGAGAUUCCAAAGGAACUAGACCCACGGUGGGCUUCUAUAAUCAAGAUUUGCUGGAACAGUGAUCCAAAGAGCCGGCCAACGUUCCAGGAACUACUUAACAAGCUUAGAGAUCUUCAAAGACAAUAUACUCUCCAACUUCAGCAAGCUCGUAACUCGGCCGAAGAAAAGGAAAUAUGAAUCAGAUGCUUGUGGCAUUGGUUCCAUAUUCUUUCAUUCAAACAAAAGAUGUAGAGAAGCAUGGGCAGUGAGCCACACGAGAAAGAUAAAAUGUAGGUAUUUAGUUGGCAGUAUGUGAGAGAAAGCAGCCCAAGUUUGAGGUAAUGGGUUGGUUUCGGCAGUGGAUUUGGAGAUGGGGAUGAUGUCUCCUGUGAUUUUGAAACAUGUCAGGACGACUAAGGAAAUUCGUACGUAAUGCACAAUCUACGUUUGAGUACAUAGGCUGAGAUAAAUAUCAUGCUUUGUUUGCUAUUUGUUAAACCACUCUAUAAUGGGGUCCCUUGUCUGCUAUUAGUUACUCUGUUGUUCUCGGAGUCCAUUAUUAUUAUAUACAAAAAGCUUGCAGCUUGAAAUUUAUAACUAAA
Molecule: RNA transcript, 2931 nt
Organism: Gossypium raimondii (Peruvian cotton)
Lineage: Eukaryota; Viridiplantae; Streptophyta; Magnoliopsida; Malvales; Malvaceae
Exons: 13
Source: RefSeq, a predicted model, not a curated record